RNAcentral lists this ribosomal RNA (212 nucleotides) under uncultured Rhodospirillaceae bacterium. RNAcentral describes it as "partial 16S ribosomal RNA". It matches the Rfam family "Bacterial small subunit ribosomal RNA", at positions 29 to 266 of the family's 1533-position model. The record is from RNAcentral. Lineage: Bacteria; Pseudomonadati; Pseudomonadota; Alphaproteobacteria; Rhodospirillales; Rhodospirillaceae.
AACGAACGCUGGCGGCAGGCUUAACACAUGCAAGUCGAACGCGUGUAGCAAUACACGAGUGGCGCACGGGUGAGUAACGCGUGGAUAUCUGCCUUUUGGUUCGGAAUAACCCCGGGAAACUGGGGCUAAUACCGGAUGGUUCCUUCGGGAUAAAGAUUUAUCGCCAAAAGAUGAGUCCGCGUACGAUUAGCUAGUUGGUGAGGUAAUGGCUC